This 210-nucleotide long non-coding RNA is filed under the name Gossypium barbadense (sea-island cotton). RNAcentral describes it as "long non-coding RNA (GBAR_LNC023300)". The record is from RNAcentral. Lineage: Eukaryota; Viridiplantae; Streptophyta; Magnoliopsida; Malvales; Malvaceae.
GUACAUCAUCUGGUUUCUCUUCAUCAAUGGCAAUGUCUAGACCCUGCUGAAAAAGGGCAUCUAGAACCUCACUUUGCCACAUACCAAAAUGGUCUGUGCCAUCAAAGAUCUCCACGGCCAAUCUUGCAUUUGUAAUUGUCGGUCUUAUCCACAUGGACGAUGUUGAAGCUCCUACACCGACCGUUUUCUCCAUAAUCUUUCAAUAUACCU